CGGCGGACGGGUGAGUAACACGUGGAUAACCUACCUAUAAGACUGGGAUAACUUCGGGAAACCGGAGCUAAUACCGGAUAAUAUAUUGAACCGCAUGGUUCAAUAGUGAAAGACGGUUUUGCUGUCACUUAUAGAUGGAUCCGCGCCGCAUUAGCUAGUUGGUAAGGUAACGGCUUACCAAGGCAACGAUGCGUAGCCGACCUGAGAGGGUGAUCGGCCACACUGGAACUGAGACACGGUCCAGACUCCUACGGAAGGCAGCAGCC
Molecule: ribosomal RNA, 266 nt
Filed under: uncultured Staphylococcus sp.
Lineage: Bacteria; Bacillati; Bacillota; Bacilli; Caryophanales; Staphylococcaceae
Description: partial 16S ribosomal RNA
Rfam family: Bacterial small subunit ribosomal RNA
Source: RNAcentral